RNAcentral lists this ribosomal RNA (468 nucleotides) under uncultured bacterium. RNAcentral describes it as "partial 16S ribosomal RNA". It matches the Rfam family "Bacterial small subunit ribosomal RNA", at positions 28 to 507 of the family's 1533-position model. The record is from RNAcentral.
GACGAACGCUGGCGGCGUGCUUAACACAUGCAAGUCGAACGGAAAGGCCCUGCUUUUGUGGGGUGCUCGAGUGGCGAACGGGUGAGUAACACGUGAGUAACCUGCCCUUGACUUUGGUAUAACUUCAGGAAACUGGGGCUAAUACCGGAUAGGAGCUCCUGCUGCAUGGUGGGGGUUGGAAAGUUUCGGCGGUUGGGGAUGGACUCGCGGCUUAUCAGCUUGUUGGUGGGGUAGUGGCUUACCAAGGCUUUGACGGGUAGCCGGCCUGAGAGGGUGACCGGCAACAUUGGGACUGAGAUACGGCCCAGACUCCUACGGGAGGCAGCAGUGGGGAAUAUUGCACAAUGGGCGGAAGCCUGAUGCAGCAACGCCGCGUGCGGGAUGACGGCCUUCGGGUUGUAAACCGCUUUCGCCUGUGACGAAGCGUGAGUGACGGUAAUGGGUAAAGAAGCACCGGCUAACUACGUG